This 300-nucleotide long non-coding RNA is filed under the name Gossypium barbadense (sea-island cotton). Its description in RNAcentral is "long non-coding RNA (GBAR_LNC019497)". Lineage: Eukaryota; Viridiplantae; Streptophyta; Magnoliopsida; Malvales; Malvaceae. The record is from RNAcentral.
CUUUAAUUUUUUUUCUUAAAAAUGGUGCACAUAUAUAAAUACAUAGAUAAGAAAAUAGAAGAAGAAAAAUCCAUGAAGGACUUGGAGUUAACUAGAAGUUGGUGGAAUUGAGCCCAAAGCUGAGGGCCUGUGAAGUGGGCUUGUUGGGCUAACUUUUUCUUUUCUUUUCUUUGGUUUUUUUUGUAAACACACCAUUAGAAAUUAUUCUCUUUGUCUAUUUUUUAUAUUUUUAUUUACUUUUAUUUUAAUUUUAGUUUUAGUUUUUAUAAUUUUUUAAAAGAACUUAAAUUUUUAUCACCA